GCAAGUCGAACGCGAAAGUCCCCUUCGGGGGAUUAGUAGAGUGGCGUCCGGGUGAGUAACACGUAGGUAAUCUACCUUCGGGUGGGGAAUAACGCAGGGAAACUUGCGCUAAUACCGCAUAAUGCAGCGGCACCACAUGGUGACAGUUGUUAAAGCGGGGGAUUUUCGAACCUCGCGCCUGAAGAGGAGCCUGCGGCAGAUUAGCUAGUUGGUAGGGUAACGGCUUACCAAGGCGACGAUCUGUAACCGGCCUGAGAGGGCGGUCGGUCACACUGACACUGACAUACGGGUCAGACUCCUACGGGAGGCAGCAGUCGGGAAUUUUGGGCAAUGGGCGAAAGCCUGACCCAGCAACGCCGCGUGAAGGAUGAAAUCCCUCGGGAUGUAAACUUCGCAAGAAUGGGAAGAAUAGACGAGUACUAAUACUGCUCGUGAUGACGGUACCAUUUGUAAGCUCCGGCUAACUCCGUGCCAGCAGCCGCGGUAAUACGGGGGGAGCAAGCGUUGUUCGGAUUUACUGGGCGUAAAGGGCGCGUAGGCGGUCAGCACAAGUCAGUUGUGAAAUCUCCGGGCUUAACUCGGAAAGGUCAACUGAUACUGUGCGACUAGAGUGCAGAAGGGGCAACUGGAAUUCUCGGUGUAGCGGUGAAAUGCGUAGAUAUCGAGAGGAACACCUGCGGCGAAGGCGGGUUGCUGGGCUGACACUGACGCUGAUGCGCGAAAGCCAGGGGAGCGAACGGG
Molecule: ribosomal RNA, 741 nt
Filed under: uncultured Pseudomonadota bacterium
Lineage: Bacteria; Pseudomonadati; Pseudomonadota
Description: bacterial SSU rRNA
Rfam family: Bacterial small subunit ribosomal RNA
Source: RNAcentral